CUGCACUGUCAACAGGGGUGGUACCAGAGGACUAGAGAGUGGCGAAUGUUGUGCCCCUGUUCAAAAAAGGGAAUAGGGAUAACCCCGGGAAUUACAGGCCAGUUAGUCUU
Molecule: non-coding RNA, 110 nt
Organism: Chiloscyllium plagiosum (whitespotted bambooshark)
Lineage: Eukaryota; Metazoa; Chordata; Chondrichthyes; Orectolobiformes; Hemiscylliidae
Source: RefSeq, a predicted model, not a curated record